Long non-coding RNA from Mauremys mutica (yellowpond turtle), 1209 nucleotides. RefSeq lists it as uncharacterized. Lineage: Eukaryota; Metazoa; Chordata; Testudines; Geoemydidae. The record is from RefSeq and is a predicted model, not a curated record. The transcript is spliced from 3 exons.
CAAGGAAAGCUCCACGGAGCCCUAAUGAGCCCUGGACCAUCAUUUGAAAACCACUGGCUUUGGGGAUUUUCAUGAGCCAUGCUGAAAUCUAACCAGUGGAAGAAUCCCAGACACGUCAGUCAUCGCCGAGCCAUGGAACUGAAGCCUGUUCGCUCCCAAUGUGCUUCGCUUUAGUUCAGUGUGUUACGUGCUAAAGGAGAGAGGAAUUUGAGGUUUACACUCCAAGAGAUUUGACAAACGGGACCUGAUUGCAUCCCUGUAGAGUAAACCAGCUGAACGGAGCCUUCCUGCCUCCCUAGAAACAAAAACCUCCUGGAUUUGUGGUUUCUUUGAAAUCUUUCUGGUCGCGUGGCCCCUACGGGGGUUCAAAUCGGAGGGUUUCUGUCGAACGCACGUGAGUCUGUAAUAGCAGCGAAGCGUCUCCGUAGCCUUGGCCGAUGAGUUGAGGCAGCCCCCUGGGCACUGCACUGUUUGCCCCAGUGAUGGGAAUUCCAGGACCAUAACCCCACAUCUGUUUCACUUCGACUGGUGGUUUCUUGGAGGAGCUCAGCGUGCCAACCUCGAGGCGAGGACAUAUCGAAGGGGAUUCUGAUGUGUGACUCAAACAGGCAGAAGUUCAAGCUUCUAUAUAUAGCGAUGAGUGGAGAUUUUCAACUCCAAGAAAUCCGUUCUCCGUUUCGUCUUUGCCUCCUCUCGGGUGGUUCUCACCCUGUCUGCUCCAGAUUCGACAGCAAAACCGGGGGGAGGGUUUAGCAGAUGCCUUCUUUACCUUUACUUCAUGAUUUUAAUAAUAAAAGUUGUUCCACGCCCAUAAAAUCACCAGCUCCCUGCAGUUACUUUGAGUCAUGAAAUAUACAAAGCGGAAAUUCAAUCGCACGUUUUGUGUGUGUGGUCGGAAUCGCUAGCAGCUGCUUCGGAUUUUUUUUAAACACUUUCGUUUAUGCAGGGGAGGCAUAAUUAUUAUUUUUACUUAAUAAAAGUAGGACAAGUCGCCCCUGCUCUUACAUGUGUCCUUCCUUAUCGGGUUUCCAAGGCUCUGAUUAUUCAAUAGCUAAUUUAAACAAAGCGGAUAGAAAAGAUGUCAAGUAUCCGGAGCAUUUAGUCCUUAAUUUAGAAUAAAUAUAUAUAUCUAUUCCCAGUGCACGUUAUUGGGAUUAAAGGAGUGUAAAAGUGAGAGAGCGCAGCUGUUGUGUUUACACGCGCGGAGUU